RNAcentral lists this ribosomal RNA (434 nucleotides) under uncultured Butyrivibrio sp. RNAcentral describes it as "partial 16S ribosomal RNA". It matches the Rfam family "Bacterial small subunit ribosomal RNA", at positions 341 to 792 of the family's 1533-position model. Lineage: Bacteria; Bacillati; Bacillota; Clostridia; Lachnospirales; Lachnospiraceae. The record is from RNAcentral.
ACGGAAGGCAGCAGUGGGGAAUAUUGGUCAAUGGGCGCAAGCCUGAUCCAGCGACGCCGCGUGAGCGAUGAAGUAUUUCGGUAUGUAAAGCUCUAUCAGCAGGGAAGAAAACGACGGUACCUGACUAAGAAGCCCCGGCUAACUACGUGCCAGCAGCCGCGGUAAUACGUAGGGGGCAAGCGUUAUCCGGAUUUACUGGGUGUAAAGGGAGCGUAGACGGAAUGGCAAGUCAGAAGUGAAACUCCGGGGCUCAACCCCGGAACUGCUUUUGAAACUGUCAAUCUUGAGUGCUGGAGAGGUAAGCGGAAUUCCUAGUGUAGCGGUGAAAUGCGUAGAUAUUAGGAGGAACACCAGUGGCGAAGGCGGCUUACUGGACAGUAACUGACGUUGAGGCUCGAAAGCGUGGCGAGCAAACAGGAUUAGAUACCCUGGUA